GAUCAUGGCUCAGGACGAACGCUGGCGGCGUGCCUAAUACAUGCAAGUCGAGCGGACCUUUCAGGGUCAGCGGCGGACGGGUGAGUAACACGUGGGCAAUCUGCCCGAUACUCUGGGAUAACGCUUGGAAACGAGUGCUAAUACCGGAUGGUCUUCUUGGCCGCAUGGCCGAGAAGGAAAAGACGCGUUCGCGUCGAUGUCGGAUGAGCCCGCGGCGCAUUAGCUAGUUGGUGAGG
RNAcentral lists this ribosomal RNA (236 nucleotides) under uncultured bacterium. Its description in RNAcentral is "partial 16S ribosomal RNA". It matches the Rfam family "Bacterial small subunit ribosomal RNA", at positions 15 to 257 of the family's 1533-position model. The record is from RNAcentral.